RNAcentral lists this ribosomal RNA (503 nucleotides) under uncultured bacterium. RNAcentral's name for it is "bacterial SSU rRNA". It matches the Rfam family "Bacterial small subunit ribosomal RNA", at positions 903 to 1382 of the family's 1533-position model. The record is from RNAcentral.
GCCACGCCCGCUCAAGAAACUACAAAGGAAUUGGACCGGGACCCGCACAAGCGGUGGAGGAUGUGGUUUAAUUCGACGCAACGCGAAGAACCUUACCUAGGCUUGACAUGCUGGCGAAAACCGUGGAAACACGGUCCUCCCGCAAGGGACGCUAGUACAGGUGGUGCAUGGCUGUCGUCAGCUCGUGUCGUGAGAUGUUGGGUUAAGUCCCGCAACGAGCGCAACCCUUACCCUUAGUUGUUUUCCCGAAAGGAUUACCCUCUAAGGGGACUGCCCCGGACAACGGGGAGGAAGGUGGGGAUGACGUCAAGUCCGCAUGCUCCUUACGUCUAGGGCUACACACGUCCUACAAUGGGGUCGACAGUGGGAUGCAAAGCCGCGAGGUGGAGCCAAUCCCCAAACGGCCUCUCAGUUCGGAUAGUAGUCUGCAACUCGACUACUUGAAGUCGGAAUCGCUAGUAAUGGCGGAUCAGCAUGCCGCCGUGAAUACGUUCCCGGGUCUU